Molecule: long non-coding RNA, 2072 nt
Organism: Balaenoptera ricei (Rice's whale)
Lineage: Eukaryota; Metazoa; Chordata; Mammalia; Artiodactyla; Balaenopteridae
Exons: 4
Source: RefSeq, a predicted model, not a curated record
CAGCUGCGGGCCCCCGGGAAGCCCGUAGAGGGGAUCCACUCCCGGGCCCUGCCUGCGUCCUCUUUCGUGGGUGUCAGAGUGCGCGGCGGGGCCAUUGGGCACCACGCCCACGAGGGUACCCUCCCUCGGCGGGGAGAGGACAGUCAGAGCCCGCCGGUCGCUGGGGGCGGCACGGGGGGUGGCGGGAGCGUGAGCUGAUCCGUCUCCAUUUAGAGUGAAUCCCCAGUUGCUGAAGCUAAGUACGGCUUCACUUACUAACCGGGUGGCAGGGAAAGAGAAGGGGUGUCCACCCCCUUGGGAAUUUGCCCUCAGAAAUGCUGGAGGCAAAGAACGCCGCUGUGGCUGGCACCGGAAGGCGCCGGGGACUGGCGUCUCUGGCCACCGGCCACACGAGAAGGGAAACGCGCGCUCACCUGGGCAGCUAAGCUCAGCGGCACAGAAUGCUGUCGCCCUGCUUGUUCACCGCGCCGGCCUGGAACAGCAACGAACACCAAAGGAAAGGUCUACACUACCAGCCUUCCGUAGUGACCACCAUAAUGUACUCCAAUGGCAAAAGGUGAUUCGAAUGCAGUGACUUAAGGACCACAUUUUGAAAAAUACUGGUGUCCUCAAUAGAUCCAAUCCAGGAUACCAAACUGCAUCUAGAACCCCAACCUUUGAGGAAAAUUAGGACCAGAGUUAGAGCUAUAAAGACCUCAGAUCUAAUGGAUAGAGACUUAGGUUUGGAAUCAGGAAGAAUAAAUAGAAAUAGCACAGAUGUAAGUCUUGGAAAAACCUUAACUUCAAAGAUGCAGCCAUCAUUAUGUUUUACUUCAGGCAAUUUAUAUAUCUGAUGGAAAUCUCAGGUCAUCUGGUAUUCCCCUUUAUUGUCAGAAUUUAGCAAGGGCUCUUUUAAGUCAAAACAUUGAAAACCCUAUUAACUGUGAUACACUCCUGGACUUAAGCAAAGGGCAGUAUCUCAGAUUUAGCAGUAUCAUCUAGAUGAAAAUGUGUAUAUAAUAUUCUGAGAUAUAGUUAUCUUCAUACGUAGUUACUAUCUUAUGUAUCUCAUCUCCUUCCAGUUUAUGCCUUAUCCCUUGACCUGUAGCUACAGUAAGCAUCACAGUGUUUCUUUAGUUUGUUCAUUCACCCAAAACAGGUAUUGAGAACUACUUUGUGCUAAGCACUGGGCUGAGCUCUGUGGACCCAUUAGUCUUUUGGAUGAACCCAGACAGGAUAGCCAGGCUUUAUUGUACAGUGGAUAAAUGCUAAUAGAGGUAUUCCUAGAGUGCUGGGGAAAGAAGCAUAGAAGACAUGCAUGGAGAAGAGGAAAUUCAUGCAAAAGACAUGGAAGCAUGAGGUAGCAUGGCCUUUUGAGUGUUCAUGCCUUGCCUGGGAGACACGGCAGGGACCGGAACUGGAUGUGUGGGUGGGGGCUUGGGAUGACAAAGACCUUGGAUGCCAACUGAGGGGUCUGAAUUAAUCAUGUGGAGGAUGGGGAACCAACGAUCAAAUUGUGCUUUGGAAAGAUCAGUGUAGAGAAUGGAUUGCCGGAAGAAAGAAUUUGAAGCAGGGAAAGCAGAGGGAACUUUUGGGGUAGUGUGGUUUAUGCAAGAAACUACAAAGCCCUCCUCUCUCUUCUUUGCUUGACCAACAUCUAAAUCAUCCAUAUAGGAAUAGGUUGAAAUGCUACUUCCUUUGAGAAGCCUUUCUUCCCUACUCCUCAGGACAUACAUAGUCACUCACUCCUAUAGCUCUUUGCUCAUAAUUUAAUUAUAGUAUUUAUCACUGAGUGUUGUACGGAUUGUUUGUCAUGUCUAUCUCCCUACUACAGUGAGUUUUCUAGGUCAGGGCCUCUAUCUUAUUCAUCUUGGCAUCUUUAGCAUUUAGGACAGUGCCUUGCACAGGGUGUCUGCUCAAAUAUUUGAUGAGUGAGAGACAGAAUGAAUAUUUGCCAGUCGUGGAUAGAAUGCAUGAGAAAGUUGAUCUUUCCCCCCAAACUGAAUAUUCAUUAUUACCCAAAUUAAUUUUUGCAAAAUUCCAUGCACGAUCAUUUAAUUAGUCCAAUUGAGGAAACAAGGAAAUGAGACUCA